CUUAGCCUCAACAGCAAAGCAAAAGGCUUAGUGGAUUUGACCUUACUGACCGCGUUGGUUUUUCAAUUGGGUUAGUUCAUCACAAUGACAAGCCACAGCAUUAGCCUUCUUAUUGCCAUGGUGUUAUCGCUGGGCAUUUUCAUCGUCACGCUGGUGUUUAGUUUUCUGGCAGCACGAGGACAAUAUCCCUUUUUGGAGACCACUGGCAAUAUUUCGGACGCAUUUGCCACCCAGAUAACACCAUCUGGAUGGACCUUCAUCAUUUGGACCUUUAUUUAUAUCUUUCUUGCUCUUGUGAUGGUCUAUGCCUUUGCAGGCCUCUGCAGAAGAAAUGCACUCGGCCUGAUGUACUGCUACCCACCGGUUCUGUCACAUGGCUUCUACCUGACUUGGUGCUUGAAUUUUGGCUUCAAUAUCGGAUGGUUGUUUGUGUGGGACAGAAGGCUGGUGUCUGUCGCUCUGGCCUUCCUCAUUGUGGUGACUUUGACCAACUUCGUCAUGAUAUUCUUCUCAUGCUAUGGCCUUCACACUUACGGCGCCUGGCUCCAUAAAUUCCAUAGGGUUGACCUUUGGCUCGUGCGUGUGUUGGUUCAAAACGGUAUAGCCAUGUACGCAACGUGGACCACCAUCGCGAGCCUCCUCAACCUGGCCAUUGUGCUCAACACGUAUGCAAGCCUGUCCCUAACAUCUGCCGCCACGAUCUCACUCGCCAUUUUGGUCGUGGUGGUGUUAGUAUGGUUUGUCCUGGAAAAUUUCUUUUUGGAUAAACACGUGCGCUACAUCCUGAUCAUCUACCCCGUCGUCAUCUGGGCACUGACUGGAUCCUACACCAAAAACUAUGAUGCCGAAUCGCCCAGUCAAACUGGAAUAUUUGCUGUGGUUGUGCUGGCAACGGCCUGCGUUCUGUUUGCCACCCGUAUCAUUCUGGUUGUGUGGCGUCACAUCAAGAGUCCGAUCUACAGGCAAAAUAGUGUAGAGCUCAGAUUGCCCGUGGACAUAAUCAACAGUCAAAGAAAUAUAUUGCUCAAGUAAGGGCGCUCACUGCACUGCUUUUGUGUGACACUAUGUGUGAGUUUUGCUUGGGAAAUGUGGUUUUUGCAAGUUUGGAAAAUGUUUUGAUGUCAGUGAUUUUUUUCUUUUUUGUAUGACCAUCCAUAAUGAAUGCACUUUUUCUUAUACGAUGUGUUACAUGUUUGUUAGUACUAUACGACAAAUUGUGACAACUUGUGACAACUUUCAUAAUAUCUGCAGGGUGGGCCAAAAGUAUGGAUACAUACUUUAAAUUCACUUUUUUAGGCUACCAUGAAUAAUGAAAACUAGUCAAGAACAAAUUAAGUAGCUUCUAGGAUUGGGCAGGUACCGUAGGACAAAAGUUGGAAGUAAGGCAGCCAGGAAGGAACAUAUAUAUUCAGAAUGUUCCAGCAUACAUUUUGCUCGUAGCGAAUGCAACUUGGAGCAUUUAAAUUGCACUUUAUUCUUCAUGUUUACUGAAUGCAUGUCGCAUUAUGAUUGAGUGCAUUUUAAUUUAGGAGAUACUAUAUGUCAAAUGUGUUUUUGUUUCUGCAGUUCAGUUGAAUUCUUAUAAAAGUGAUGAUUACAAAAAAAAUCAGAUUUCAAGAGGUGAGUCUAUUUGCAUGGUAAUUGUC
RNA transcript from Hippocampus comes (tiger tail seahorse), 1646 nucleotides. RefSeq lists it as uncharacterized. Lineage: Eukaryota; Metazoa; Chordata; Actinopteri; Syngnathiformes; Syngnathidae. The record is from RefSeq and is a predicted model, not a curated record. The transcript has 8 exons.